CAUGUUAUCAGCUGUUGUGUAUGUUCCCAGACAAAUAUCCAUUCCAGUCACUUUGGGUUAGUUCAUGUGUGUUGAAGGAAGCAGCUUGGGCCUAGGAUCUGGUUAGAGUUACUCUCACGGCAUCAUAAAGCAUAAUUUCUGGUUCUUCCUGAUGACAUUCUGAAGCACAUGAUAAGACGGGGACCGGGAGCUGGAAGAUGGAUUGGCCCGGAGGAGUCAGCUUGGCUGCUAGAGAUGAUGACUGAUGAAGGAUGCAGCUGUUGCAACAAAGCCCGGAUUCCCAUCUCCUUCGACUUGAGUCCUAAGCAUGUGACACUCGUCUCAACACACAUGGUGUUUAUUUUGCUGUGUUGAAACGCUUGUUUACUGUUUGUUUCCCUUGCUAGACAGAAAAGUCAUUGAGGCCAAGCACGCCGUGGUCCAGGGUUUGGAGCUGUCCCUCUGCCAUGCUCCCAGCUCAGGGACUGUUGGAAGCCAUCUCAGGCCGUGAAAGAACUUCUUCUCUAAGUUUGUGCUUGAGCUUUCUCCAUUCAGAACAAAAUACAUCAUUUGAAGCCAUCAGGUACUCAAGUGGGCAUGGGGGAUGACUCCUCACGCUACAGUAGGGUUUCCUGCUAAGCAGUUUCCAACCUUGUCUGCCCCUGGGGCUCUCCUGGCCCCCCUCCCCCACUCCUAGAUCCGCCUUCUUGAUUAUCUUGCUUCAGGAUCUCAUAUAGCCUUAAUUCCUCCUUAUUGCUUGGCAGGAUGCCAGACACAUUUAAAAAAAAGGUUAAUUUUCUAGUGAGGAAGUAAUUUUAUUCAAAUAAAUGAGGAAACUUCUGCAGGA
Molecule: long non-coding RNA, 826 nt
Organism: Mesocricetus auratus (golden hamster)
Lineage: Eukaryota; Metazoa; Chordata; Mammalia; Rodentia; Cricetidae
Exons: 2
Source: RefSeq, a predicted model, not a curated record